GAAGAACUCAAUAAUCUAAAAGUGAGACUUUUAACUUCCCUGAAGACAUACAAAAUGAUGUGGCUCCUAAUAUAAUAUGUGUUCUUCAAGACAUGCUGGUGGCACUGACCUGCGGUGACCUUUGAACUGUGGUUUUCUGGUACAGAAACAGCUCCCUCAGCCUCCUGGCCUUUCUGACCACCCACACUUGGCUUUGAGAGUGAAGAAAAAAAUAUAUGACAG
Molecule: long non-coding RNA, 222 nt
Organism: Mauremys reevesii (Reeves's turtle)
Lineage: Eukaryota; Metazoa; Chordata; Testudines; Geoemydidae
Exons: 3
Source: RefSeq, a predicted model, not a curated record